Panicum virgatum (switchgrass) is the source of this 734-nucleotide long non-coding RNA. RefSeq lists it as uncharacterized. Lineage: Eukaryota; Viridiplantae; Streptophyta; Magnoliopsida; Poales; Poaceae. The transcript is spliced from 2 exons. The record is from RefSeq and is a predicted model, not a curated record.
CCUCUCUCUUGUGCAGGGAAACGGAUCGAGUGAGCACGAGAAAAAUCCCAGCACGGAUCGAGCUCGUUCUUCAACAGCCAUCCUCUGCCCGCAAGGUACAGAUUGCAUACGACAUCGCAAGCAGUUGGAUCUUACUAUUAUUGGGGACAUCAAAGAUAAAGAGGAUGGCACAGUUGCGUUGCUUCAGAGGAACUCAAGCUCACCCCUCGGAGUUCUGAUCAUUUGUCGUUGGCCACGGAUGCAUACAGUGUUCGAUCGACGCUGAAGCUAAUAAGAACGUAACGCACACCUGCCUUGCUUUAUCAGUAGCAUUAAACAAUCCUCUCUAAGCUUGAUUGCGCAAGCAUCGUGCGUGUCACUUUCGUGCAUGGAUUAGCUUGUCGUCUCGGACUCUCGCUUUCUUCAUUUUCCCCUAGCUGCUAGCUCCGGACCCGCCGGCCCUGCAUGGAUCGCACAAAGAGACAGGUCGGCUGAGUGCGUGGGAACGAAAGAUUGGACCGUCGACCUCGUCCUUGUGGGAGCACGAUGACCUAAACUGCUAAAGCUAGACCACUCUGGUUGGAAAAUAGCAGCAGCAGGUGAUUGGUAAUUUCAUCUGUCGUCAUCCAUUCGGUCACAAAGUAAAGGCUCACAUUUGAGUUAGGUCUUUCUGCAUUCAGUCAAUGAACUCAAUGUGCAACACUUUAGCUUAUACAGUAUAAAUUAAAGUAGAUGCUGCUGCAUGUUCUGCCCUC